Long non-coding RNA from Oncorhynchus keta (chum salmon), 549 nucleotides. RefSeq lists it as uncharacterized. The transcript is spliced from 4 exons. The record is from RefSeq and is a predicted model, not a curated record. NCBI's taxonomy places the organism in Eukaryota, Metazoa, Chordata, Actinopteri, Salmoniformes, Salmonidae.
UAUAGACCUAAUGCUCUAUAAUAUAAUCUACAGGUUAGUAUAGACCUAAUGCUCUAUAAUAUAAUCUACAGGUUAGUAUAGACCUAAUCCUCUAUAAUAUAAUCUACAGGUUAGUAUAGACCUAAUCCUCUAUAAUAUAAUCUACAGGUUAGUAUAGACCUAAUCCUCUAUAAUAUAAUCUACAGGUUAGUAUAGACAUAAUCCUCUAUAAUAUAAUCUACAGGUUAGUAUAGACCUAAUCCUCUAUAAUAUAAUCUACAGGUUAGUAUAGACCUAAUGCUCUAUAAUAUAAUCUACAGGUUAGUAUAGACCUAAUGCUCUAUAAUAUAAUCUAAAGGUUAGUAUAGACCUAAUCCUCUAUAAUAUAAUCUACAGGUUAGUAUAGACCUAAUCCUCUAUAAUAUAAUCUACAGGUUAGUAUAGACCUAAUCCUCUAUAAUAUAAUCUACAGGUUAGUAUAGACAUAAUCCUCUAUAAUAUAAUCUACAGGUUAGUACAGACCUAAUGCUCUAUAAUAUAAUCUACAGGUUAGUAUAGACCUAAUCCUCU